This 253-nucleotide ribosomal RNA is filed under the name uncultured bacterium. Its description in RNAcentral is "partial 16S ribosomal RNA". It matches the Rfam family "Bacterial small subunit ribosomal RNA", at positions 524 to 776 of the family's 1533-position model. The record is from RNAcentral.
UACGUAGGGUGCGAGCGUUGUCCGGAAUUAUUGGGCGUAAAGAGCUUGUAGGCGGUUUGUCGCGUCUGCUGUGAAAAUCCGGGGCUCAACCCCGGACUUGCAGUGGGUACGGGCAGACUAGAGUGUGGUAGGGGAGACUGGAAUUCCUGGUGUAGCGGUGAAAUGCGCAGAUAUCAGGAGGAACACCGAUGGCGAAGGCAGGUCUCCGGGCCACUACUGACGCUGAGAAGCGAAAGCGUGGGGAGCGAACAGG